Molecule: long non-coding RNA, 107 nt
Organism: Sinocyclocheilus grahami
Lineage: Eukaryota; Metazoa; Chordata; Actinopteri; Cypriniformes; Cyprinidae
Exons: 2
Source: RefSeq, a predicted model, not a curated record
UCGAACAAUGGCAAACAGGUAUGAGGCAGGCAAAACACAAGAAUAGUCCUAGGGCUAGCGUAGGUCAAUGAUCGGCAGACAGAAUCACAGGGGCGAGACGAGAGGGA